Molecule: ribosomal RNA, 253 nt
Filed under: uncultured bacterium
Lineage: Bacteria
Description: partial 16S ribosomal RNA
Rfam family: Bacterial small subunit ribosomal RNA
Source: RNAcentral
GACAGAGGCCCCGAGCGUUAGGCGGAAUCACUGGGCUUAAAGCGUGUGUAGGCGGAAGCGUAAGUGUCUUGUGAAAUCCCACGGCUCACCCGUGGAACCGCGGGGCAUACUGCGCUUCUUGGGCCGUUCAGGGGCGACUGGAACAAGCGGUGGAGCGGUGAAAUGCGUAGAUAUCGCGUGGAACGCCGAAGGCGAAAACAGGUCGCUGGGGAAGCGCCGACGCUGAGACACGAAAGCCAGGGGAGCAAACGGG